This 500-nucleotide ribosomal RNA is filed under the name uncultured bacterium. RNAcentral describes it as "partial 16S ribosomal RNA". It matches the Rfam family "Bacterial small subunit ribosomal RNA", at positions 30 to 523 of the family's 1533-position model. The record is from RNAcentral.
AUUGAACGCUGGCGGCAUGCCUUACACAUGCAAGUCGAACGGCAGCACGGGAGCAAUCCUGGUGGCGAGUGGCGAACGGGUGAGUAAAGUAUCGGAACGUGCCCAGUCGUGGGGGAUAACGUAGCGAAAGUUACGCUAAUACCGCAUACGAUCUAUGGAUGAAAGCGGGGGACCGCAAGACCUCGCGCGAUUGGAGCGGCCGAUAUCAGAUUAGGUAGUUGGUGGGGUAAAGGCUCACCAAGCCGACGAUCUGUAGCUGGUCUGAGAGGACGACCAGCCCAACUGGGACUGAGACACGGCCCAGACUCCUACGGGAGGCAGCAGUGGGGAAUUUUGGACAAUGGGCGAAAGCCUGAUCCAGCCAUGCCGCGUGCAGGAUGAAGGCCUUCGGGUUGUAAACUGCUUUUGUACGGAACGAAAAGGUUUGGCCUAAUAAGCUGAGCUCAUGACGGUACCGUAAGAAUAAGCACCGGCUAACUACGUGCCAGCCGCCGCAGUAA